Long non-coding RNA from Gastrolobium bilobum, 780 nucleotides. RefSeq lists it as uncharacterized. Lineage: Eukaryota; Viridiplantae; Streptophyta; Magnoliopsida; Fabales; Fabaceae. The record is from RefSeq and is a predicted model, not a curated record. The transcript has 3 exons.
UUGUUGUUCUAAACUUACCAUUAGCAUAUAUUUGGUAGGUUAUUGUCACCUGAAGAUUUGAUACCGAUACUUCCUUACAUCUACCCUGGAGAGCUAGUUUAUGCUAAAUAUUUCACGUGCUAUUUAAUGAAUGAGGCUAAUGAUAAUGAAGAUGGAAAAUUGUCACUCCAGGAGAUGCUUGAUCAUGAAUUUAUUUUUUACAACACAGUUGAUGCAGAUGGGCAUCAGGAAAGCGAUGAUGAACAUGAUGAGCUUUGAUGUUAUAAAAGGCAUUGUUGAUUACAAGGCUAUGAUUGUAUGGAUUCAGAGGUGGUCCUGCUGGCAUCAUGAAGUGCAAAUUCGUUAAACUCACCUCUGACUAUAUUUAUCCUUACAGAUAUCAGGUCCAUUUUUUCUUUUUUACAAGUUUUUGAAACGUAAUCGUGCUUGCUUAGCUGAAUUUUCGGAAUGGUUGUUUUGGAUUUAUUUGAAAUGUGUCAGUUGCAGCGGGCCAACAGAGAUACUUGUUGCUUGUGUGUGGAAGAUGAACAACAAGGAGAAGAAGAGUGUGAGCAGGGACAAGAGCCUGAGAAGUUUCGUGGUGUAAGCUGUGGCAUUAACUUGCUCUGGACAAUGGAUAGCUUCUCCUGUUGCCCUUAAAAAGACAUUAGAUUCUUUCUUUACGAUAUACCAUUCAUUUAGUAGGAGAUAAAGUUACAAUUUAUACACACAUAAAAAUAAAAACACGUGAUUCGUAUUUUUUUUUCUCUGUAUGUUCUCUUUACAGAGUUUUUAUAUGAC